UAUAAAAAGGCGUGUAACUGGUAUAUAAACAAACUUAAUAUUUCCAAACACACGUGUUUCCCUGAUCGAUCAAACACCAAAACACAAGGUGAACAAUUACAUCCCUUGCAGAAUGAAAAUAUUGAAGAUGCUGUGUGCGAUAUUCAUGCUGCUAAUGACAGUUUUAGCAGGAAAAGUCAGUGGAAAGCCACCAGCUGGAGGGCUUAAAUUUGACAGAAUACGACCACCCAGAGGAGGGCUUCGUUUUAACAGAGUUAAAAGAGAUAUUAAUGGCCACCAUUUAGAUAGAACCUUGGGACUACUGCUGAAAAAAGAUUAGAUGGUCUAGAUCUUUGGCACCACAAACUGAAUAUUUCAUCAUUGAAACUGAAUUAAAUAGAUAUUGAUUUUGUA
Molecule: long non-coding RNA, 393 nt
Organism: Mytilus trossulus (common blue mussel)
Lineage: Eukaryota; Metazoa; Mollusca; Bivalvia; Mytilida; Mytilidae
Exons: 3
Source: RefSeq, a predicted model, not a curated record